This 303-nucleotide ribosomal RNA is filed under the name Triticum aestivum (bread wheat). RNAcentral's name for it is "partial small subunit ribosomal RNA". The record is from RNAcentral. Lineage: Eukaryota; Viridiplantae; Streptophyta; Magnoliopsida; Poales; Poaceae.
AUGGAGACUGCGCUCAUCCAUCCAGCGCUCAUUCUGCAUCCAACGGCCAUCAAUGAUCAAAGUGAAAAAAACCAACACUUAGCAGUUUUUUGCUUGGAGACGCCCACACUAGUAGUUCUCUGUACACCGCUCUCACACUACUUCCGCAUGCAUACGUGUCGAGAAUAUGUCCGCAUGCGGUACGAGAAUCCGUCGAGUAUCCACCCACGCCUACUUAUGUAUACAGAGAGGCAUGUAUUGAUUCUUGAUGCACUGUCAUGGCCUGGUCUAUUUUUGGAUCAAGAUCAUUUUUCACUUCUCUAA